CGACGGGUGAGUAACGCGUAAGAACUUGCCCUUUAGACUGGGAUAACAGAGGGAAACUUCUGAUAAUACUGGAUAAGUUAGUAUAUCGCAUGAUAUGCAAAUGAAAGCUACGGCGCUAAAGGAGAGCUUUGCGUCCUAUUAGCUAGUUGGUAAGGUAAGAGCUUACCAAGGCGAUGAUAGGUAGCCGGCCUGAGAGGGUGGACGGCCACAAGGGGACUGAGAUACGGCCCUUACUCCUACGGGAGGCAGCAGAC
Molecule: ribosomal RNA, 254 nt
Filed under: uncultured Leptotrichia sp.
Lineage: Bacteria; Fusobacteriati; Fusobacteriota; Fusobacteriia; Fusobacteriales; Leptotrichiaceae
Description: partial 16S ribosomal RNA
Rfam family: Bacterial small subunit ribosomal RNA
Source: RNAcentral